GACGAACGCUUGCGGCGUGCCUAAUGUAUGCAAGUCGAGCGGUGAAGGAGCUUCGGCUCCUGAUCAGCGGCGAACGGUUGAGUAACACGUAGGCAACCUGCCCCGAAGUGGGGGAUAACUCAGCGAAAGUUGGGCUAAUACCGCAUGUGGAAGCCGACUGCCUGGUUGGUUUUCCAAAGCAGCAAUGCGCUUCGGGAUGGGCCUGCGGCCUAUCAGCNGUUGGUGGGGUAACGGCCUACCAAGGCUCCGACGGGUAGCUGGUCUGAGAGGAUGGUCAGCCAGACAGGGACUGAGACACGGCCCUGACUCCGUUUGGGGGCAGCAAUGAGGGAUAUUGCACAAUGGGCGAAAGCCUGAUGCAG
RNAcentral lists this ribosomal RNA (362 nucleotides) under uncultured bacterium. RNAcentral's name for it is "bacterial SSU rRNA". It matches the Rfam family "Bacterial small subunit ribosomal RNA", at positions 28 to 391 of the family's 1533-position model. The record is from RNAcentral.